AGGCAUGCACCUGGAGUGUGUG
Molecule: microRNA, 22 nt
Filed under: Hyalella azteca
Lineage: Eukaryota; Metazoa; Arthropoda; Malacostraca; Amphipoda; Hyalellidae
Description: miR-669a
Source: RNAcentral